RNAcentral lists this long non-coding RNA (1000 nucleotides) under Monodelphis domestica (gray short-tailed opossum). Its description in RNAcentral is "lncRNA (ENSMODG00000051464.1)". The record is from RNAcentral. Lineage: Eukaryota; Metazoa; Chordata; Mammalia; Didelphimorphia; Didelphidae.
GGUCUCUUUUGGGGAGGCGUGGUUCUCACUCUGGCUGGUGUGGCUCAUGGCAGCUUGCUGAGCAUCCUGGUGGUUUGGCUAGUCACAGCUUGAUGGUGAGGUAAUUGGGAGAAGCUCUGUAGUGUGGGUUACAUGAAGCAUCUUCCCUAAGUGACCUGGGCACUGAAGUCCAGUGGGAAGACAAAAGUCGGGACAAGCAGAGCCUGGGAUGCAGUGGGUGACCUUGGUGUCUUCAAUGUCUUACCGAGCUCUAAGUACUCCAUAACACCAUAACUCCAGCCACCUUCAUAGCUGUUGGGACAAAUUGUUCUCAUCUACCCAUUCCCCCAGAAAAAGUCUUCCCAAGCUUGCAGUAGAUAUCCCCUGAGAUCACCAACAGGUUUAAAGUCUCUUGGCUUCCCUCAUCCUGGUUUAGUCCUUCUGCUGAAAUGGUUUUUAAUGGAGUGUAGCCACUGCACAUGUUACAGCUUCUUGGAACUACUUAUAGGACAUGCUGAUAAGCCAGAGAACUCUUGCAGGAUGAAAAGACUUCAUCACACAAUCCUGACAAUCAGAGGACGUCAUGCCCAACUCCCAGCACGGUCACUAGAGUUCCUGCUGUCAAUAGUUUCUGUGGAGUCUUUCUCCAUAUUGAAUUUCCUCAUGCAAAAUGCUUGGAAUUAAUGGCUUGUGUCAUGAUAUCACAGCAGAUGAAUUAUGAAUGUCUUCAGUUCCUCUUAGAUUAAAGGACUUCCCUCUUUGGAAACUAGAAACUGGUGGUGUUACCUGGGGAAUUACCUGAGAAUUGUUAUGAAAUUCUCAUUUUCUCAUUCAGACUUUUGUUUUCCUUUUAAAAGUGGGGAUGUUUGUCCUUUUGGUGAGCCAUCAAAACCAAUAAGAUUCAUCAUCUGGUGGCCAACUUUCAAAAAUGAACACUGACUGUGCUUCCUUUAUAGCUCCUUUUGGCCCCAAAGCACACGGGAGGUGCUUAAUAAAUCCUCUUUUUUUUUUUUUAAACUCA